This 2457-nucleotide long non-coding RNA is filed under the name Lonchura striata (white-rumped munia). RNAcentral describes it as "domestica (Bengalese finch) lncRNA (ENSLSDG00000006445.1)". The record is from RNAcentral. Lineage: Eukaryota; Metazoa; Chordata; Aves; Passeriformes; Estrildidae.
GCGCGGUGUCACACCGGGAGCCGCAGGUGUGCGGUGUGCCAGGCCGCGGUGUCACACCAGGAGCUGCGGGUGUGCCACACCAGGGUGUCACACCGGGAGCCGCGGGUGUGCCCGGUCAUGGUGUCACACCGGGAGCCGCAGGUGUGCCACACCGGGGUGUCACACUGGGAGCCGCGGGUGUGCCCGGGCGCGGUGUCACACGAGGACCUGGCUUUGCAUGAGGGCCUUGCACAAGGAUCCAACCAGCGUCACCCGAGGAUCCAUCGGGUGCUUGAGGAUCCAUCGGGUGCUUGAGGAUCCAUCGGAUGCUCGAGGAUCCAUUGGGUACUCGAGGAUCUGUCGGGUGCUCAAGGAUCUGUUGGGUGCUCAAGGAUCCAUCCAGAGCCCGAGGAUCCAUCUGGCGCCACAUGUGGGGACCUGACCUGAGGAUCCAUCCGGCACCCAAGGGUCCAUCAGAUCCAUCUGACACCACACGUGGGGAUCUGACCCGAGGAUCCGUCCAGCACCCAAGGGUCCAUCAGAUCCAUCUGGCACCACACAUGGGGACCCAACCCGAGGAUCCAUCCAGCACCCAAGGUUCCAUCAGAUCCAUCUGGCACCACACAUGGGGACCCAACCCGAGCAUCCAUCCAGCACCCGAGGGUCCAUCAGAUCCAUCUGGCACCACAUGUGGGGACCCAACCCGAGGAUCCGACCGGCGCCACACUUGGGGACCUCUUUUGGGGACCCCCCUCUCACCAGGACCUCGCACCAAGACUUUGCACCCGGACCUCGCAAGGGGCGCCCCCCUCGUGCCCCCACCCCACCCCGGGGCUGUUUUGGGGGGAUCCCUCAGCCACGUUCCGGGGGCCCCCCCAAAAGCCAUCCCGGGGGGGCCCCCGCGGCCUCGGCAGCACCGAGCCGGGGGGGGCNGCGGGUGUGCCUGGGCGCGGUGUCACACCGGGAGCCGCAGGUGUGCGGUGUGCCAGGCCGCGGUGUCACACCAGGAGCUGCGGGUGUGCCACACCGGGGUGUCACACCGGGAGCCGCGGGUGUGCCCGGUCAUGGUGUCACACCGGGAGCCGCGGGUGUGCCCGGGCGCGGUGUCACACGAGGACCUGGUUUUGCAUGAGGGCCUUGCACAAGGAUCCAACCAGCGUCACCCGAGGAUCCAUCGGGUGCUUGAGGAUCCAUCGGAUGCUCGAGGAUCCAUUGGGUGCUCGAGGAUCUGUCGGGUGCUCGAGGAUCUGUUGGGUGCUCAAGGAUCCAUCCAGAGCCCGAGGAUCCAUCCGGUGCCCGAGGAUCUGUCAGGUGCUCAAGGAUCCAUCUGGUGCCUGUGGAUCCAUCGGGUGCUCGAGGAUCCAUCCUGUGCCCGAAGUUCCAUCUGGCGCCACACGUGGGGACCCAACCCGAGGAUCCGACCGGCACCCAAGGGUCCAUCGGAUCCAUCUGGCGCCACACGUGGGGACCUCACCUGAGGAUCCAUCCAGGGCCACACAUGGGGACCCGAACCGAGGAUCCGACCGGCGCCACACGUGAGGACCUGACUGGAGAUCCGACCGGAACCCAAGGAUCCAUCGGAUCCACCCAGGGCCACACGUGGGGAUCUGACUCGAGGAUCCAUCCGGCGCCACACGUGGGGACCUCACCUGAGGAUCCAUCCAGGGCCACACAUGGGGAUCUGAACCGAGGAUCCGACCGGCGCCACACGUGAGGACCUGACCCGAGAUCCGACUGGAACCCAAGGAUCCAUCCAAUCCAUCCAGGGCCACAUGUGGGGCCCUGACUCGUGGAUCCGACUGACGCCACACGUGGGGACCUGACCCGAGAUCCGACUGGAACCCAAGGAUCCAUCAGAUCGAUCUGGCGCCACACGUGAGGACCUGACCCGAGGAUCCAUCUGGCACCCGAGGAUCCAUCGGAUCCAUCUGGCACCACAUGUGGGGACCCGACCCAAGGAUUCGGCCGGUGCCACACGUGAGGACCUGACCUGAGAUCCGACCGGAACCCAAGGGUCCAUCUGAUCCAUCCAGGGCCACAUGUGGGGCCCUGACUCGCGGAUCCGACCGACGCCACACGUGAGGACCUGACCCGAGAUCCGACCGGAACCCAAGGGUCCAUCGGAUCCACCCAGGGCCACACGUGGGGAUCUGAACCGAGGAUCCGACCGGCGCCACAUGUGGGGACCUGACCCGAGAUCCGACUGGAACCCAAGGGUCCAUCAGAUCCAUCUGGCGCCACAUGUGGGGACCCAACCCGAGGAUCCGACCGGCGCCACACGUGGGGACCUGACCCGAGGAUCCAUCCGGCACCCAAGGGUCCAUCAGAUCCAUCUGACACCACACGUGGGGAUCUGACCCGAGGAUCCAUCCGGCACCCAAGGGUCCAUCAGAUCCAUCUGACACCACAUGUGGGGAUCUGACCCAAGGAUCUGUCCAGCACCCAAGGGUCCAUCAGAUCCAUCUGGCACCACAUGUG